AUGAGGUAGAUCAGAUCCAGGGGAAAAGCCUUUGGAUCCUUACACACAUACACCUGAGGAAAUGUAAAGAGAAUAUUGAAGAAGCUGUUGGGCUCCAAACGCCGGACCACUUUGCACGGAGCAGGCUGCUUUUGGGAUUAAAGAGAAGAACAAAGACACACCCAGCUUGCAAAGCAUGGAGACAAUAAGAUGUAAAGCAACCCUCUUCCUGACCCCACAUUAACACAGGAAUCAGCGUACAGCAGGCAAGUGUCACUGAACACUGGGCACCUAGCUAUUUCCUGUCAGCUGGUCCCUUUGAUCUGGCCUGAUCCUUCUUCACUUUAUUAAAAACUUUCUAAUCUUU
Molecule: long non-coding RNA, 346 nt
Organism: Ornithorhynchus anatinus (platypus)
Lineage: Eukaryota; Metazoa; Chordata; Mammalia; Monotremata; Ornithorhynchidae
Exons: 2
Source: RefSeq, a predicted model, not a curated record